UACGGGGGGGGCAAGCGUUGUUCGGAAUUACUGGGCGUAAAGGGCUCGUAGGCGGCCAUCUAAGUCAGACGUGAAAUCCCUCGGCUUAACCGGGGAACUGCGUCUGAUACUGGAUGGCUGGAGUUUGGGAGAGGGAUGCGGAAUUCCAGGUGUAGCGGUGAAAUGCGUAGAUAUCUGGAGGAACACCGGUGGCGAAGGCGGCAUCCUGGACCAAUACUGACGCUGAGGAGCGAAAGCCAGGGGAGCAAACGGG
This 253-nucleotide ribosomal RNA is filed under the name uncultured bacterium. RNAcentral describes it as "partial 16S ribosomal RNA". It matches the Rfam family "Bacterial small subunit ribosomal RNA", at positions 524 to 776 of the family's 1533-position model. The record is from RNAcentral.